UACAGAGGGUGCGAGCGUUAAUCGGAAUUACUGGGCGUAAAGCGCGCGUAGGCGGCUUUUCAAGUCGAUUGUGAAAUCCCCGGGCUCAACCUGGGAACUGCAUCUGUGACUGCAUCGCUGGAGUGCGGCAGAGGGGGAUGGAAUUCCGCGUGUAGCAGUGAAAUGCGUAGAUAUGCGGAGGAACACCGAUGGCGAAGGCAAUCCCCUGGGCCUGCACUGACGCUCAUGCACGAAAGCGUGGGGAGCAAACAGG
This 253-nucleotide ribosomal RNA is filed under the name uncultured bacterium. RNAcentral's name for it is "partial 16S ribosomal RNA". It matches the Rfam family "Bacterial small subunit ribosomal RNA", at positions 524 to 776 of the family's 1533-position model. The record is from RNAcentral.